This is a long non-coding RNA of Daphnia pulicaria, 2051 nucleotides long. RefSeq lists it as uncharacterized. The record is from RefSeq and is a predicted model, not a curated record. Lineage: Eukaryota; Metazoa; Arthropoda; Branchiopoda; Diplostraca; Daphniidae. The transcript has 9 exons.
UAGUAUUGAUAUCUCUAAUGCUAAACUUCAACAACCCUACGAGGUCAGGUGGGUCAGUAGUCUGACAAUCAAUCCCUGACAUCAGCUGAGCCGGUACACUUCACAGAUGUACAUCAAUUUAGGAAGGGAGUAAUACACUUUUCAAACUAUAUUCGUUGCAAGCAACCCAGUGUUCACACACUUUCAGUUAUCGAAGUGCUUCAAUCCUAAAUCGAGUUCUUUUUUCCUCUCAGACUCGGGCCUACACACCCACCCCUGAGGAUGGGAUUACCCACAUGAAAGUGGGGAUCUUUUCUAUUACUGUUGAAUGAAGUCGAGUAUUGCGAGAUAAACCUUUACGGUAUCACCGCCUAAGAUUGUCUCGCCUCUUCAGAAAGGAGUUGGUACCCCUUGUUCACUAGAACAUAUCAAAUCUAAUGACUAGCCAUUAAUAAUUAGUAUUGCCCGGAUGUGGAAUCGAACUCGGAGACCAAUUGUAACAUGUGUACCAACUGACGCCUAAGUCGACUCUCCCACCCGUUCCUCUUAAACAUGUUAAGCCGCUAGAUGUCUAUGUCGUCUGCUACCAACAGUUUCAAUUUUUCAAGUGUCAAACAUGGUAAAAUACUCGAAACUAUUUCCUUUCAACAGUCCACUGUUAAUUACAAUUUACAGCAAGCAUCAAGAAAUUUGAUGCAAUAACUAUGAUGAAGUUAACCAUCUUGGCUGGAUUUUUAAUCUGCUCUUUGGUUUGUGGAGAUGCACUUGAAAAUGGAUAUUAGCUCGAACUCCUUCCAUGAGAUGGGUUGGCAUCAGAAGUACACAAGCUUUAGGAUUUUAUUUCAAAUUUUGUCAGCUUGCAUGGGAAAGUUUUCAUUGUAAUUCAGACUGCAAAAAUGAUCCCGAAAACUGCAUUACUAAGAUUUAUUUCAACAUUGAACAUCUAGUGAAGAUUAUGGUAUCUGAAGGAUAUAUUUAAGUGCUGGUUACAAUAUAAUUUCAUUGGAUGUUGACUUGAUCAUUAUCGGGCAACUCCAAGCUGAUGCUACUAGAUUCCCUAGUGGAAUCAAAGCAUGCUGAUUGCUGACUAUGUGAGUUGAUCAAAACUUAUGCUAAUUGGUAUUCCGUCAUCAUAUUUUUUUUUCCCCAUAGUAAUAACUUUUUUAAAGAUUCAUUCUAAAGGUUUACAAUUUGGAAUGUAUGAAGACUAUGGAACUCUUACUUGUUGACGAGGAUAUCCAAGGAUUCUCACUCAUUUAACUGAUUCAAACACUUUUGCUGAAAGGGUGGGUGGUGAUUAUGUUAAUCUUGAUGGAUGCUAUGCAGAUUCUUCUGAAAUGGAUAAAUCAGGUAACCCUGAAUUUGGAACUCUUUUGAAUCUGACUGGUAACCCAUAGUGCGUACUUCUGUAGUUGGCCGGAUUAUCAGCUUCAACUAGUGGCUAUAAAGCAACCCCGAUAUUAGACCUGUUUGUAACCUUUGGCGAAACUUUGACGACAUCGAUGAUUCGUGGGUUAGUGUGUCAAGCAUUGAUUAUUAUGGUGAUAACCAAGAUAGGUUUGAUCCCGGUUGCUGGAAUAUGGUAAUAAUUACCGUUAGUUGGGUGAUCUAGCCAGAGAGGGAGUUCUGGUAGAUCCGAAGCCAAGAUUGUUGACUUGUCACGACUUUACCGUUCUUGAGUUUAUUCCUCCCAAGAACUUACAUUUGAAUUUUCUUUGAGUAAAGUAUUCUAUGUACGAAGCUUAGUCCAUGAUUUAGGAAUUGUUUUAAACAGCUGUGCUUACCUCGACACGCCGGAGAGAACUCGCCAAGGUCCGUUUGAAACUCAGCACUGUCUUACGGAAGAACAAUGCACGGCUACCGGUAUCCGCAAAAAUUUUUUUUAGAUGCAACAGGUUACACGCAAGUAUCUAGAUACUCAAAUGGAAAACUAUCGUUCAAGGAAAUCCCUUCAAAGUCAAAAUCAAAAUGUUGUCAAACGAAAGUAUUUUGAAUCUAGUAUAGGACUAUAUUUACUAAAAAGUAUGAUCAAUGGGAUUAAAUCUAAAUAAAUUGCAAAGUUUUUCUCCCGU